GUGCUCACUGUGGGAGCACAUAUACAAAAAUUGGAAUGAUACAGAGAAGAUUAACAUGGCACCUUCCUGCACAAGGAUGACAUGCAAAUUUGUGAAGUGUUCCAUAUUUUU
This is a small nuclear RNA of Choloepus hoffmanni (Hoffmann's two-fingered sloth), 111 nucleotides long. The record is from Ensembl. NCBI's taxonomy places the organism in Eukaryota, Metazoa, Chordata, Mammalia, Pilosa, Megalonychidae.